UGCUUCAUGAUUUGUCCUCAAUGCCUGC
RNAcentral lists this non-coding RNA (28 nucleotides) under Rattus norvegicus (Norway rat). Lineage: Eukaryota; Metazoa; Chordata; Mammalia; Rodentia; Muridae. The record is from RNAcentral.